UACAGAGGGUGCAAGCAUUAAUCGGAUUUAUUGGGCGUAAAGAGCGCGUAGGCGGGCUUUUAAGUCAGAUGUGAAAUCCCGGGGCUCAACCCCGGAACAGCAUUUGAAACUGGAAGUCUUGAGGGUAGUCGGAGAAAAUGGAAUUCCACGUGUAGCGGUGAAAUGCGUAGAUAUGUGGAAGAACACCGGUGGCGAAGGCGAUUUUCUAGAUUAUUCCUGACGCUGAUGCGCGAAAGCAAGGGGAUCAAACAGG
Molecule: ribosomal RNA, 253 nt
Filed under: uncultured Neochlamydia sp.
Lineage: Bacteria; Pseudomonadati; Chlamydiota; Chlamydiia; Parachlamydiales; Parachlamydiaceae
Description: partial 16S ribosomal RNA
Rfam family: Bacterial small subunit ribosomal RNA
Source: RNAcentral